GACGAACGCUGGCGGCGUGCUUAACACAUGCAACUCGAGCGGUAAGGCCCUUUCGGGGGUACACGAGCGGCGAACGGGUGAGUAACACGUGGGUGACCUGCCCUCAGCUCUGGGAUAAGCCUGGGAAACCGGGUCUAAUACUGGAUAUGACUCCAUGACGCAUGUUGUGGGGUGGAAAGCCUUGUGCGGCUGAGGAUGGGCCCGCGGCCUAUCAGCUUGUUGGGGGGUGAUGGCCUACCAAGGCGACGACGGGUAGCCGGCCUGAGAGGGCGACCGGCCACACUGGGACUGAGACACGGCCCAGACUCCUACGGGAGGCAGCAGUGGGGAAUCUUGCGCAAUGGGCGAAAGCCUGACGCAGCGACGCCGCGUGAGGGAUGACGGCCU
RNAcentral lists this ribosomal RNA (387 nucleotides) under uncultured bacterium. Its description in RNAcentral is "bacterial SSU rRNA". It matches the Rfam family "Bacterial small subunit ribosomal RNA", at positions 28 to 417 of the family's 1533-position model. The record is from RNAcentral.